Long non-coding RNA from Pseudopipra pipra, 537 nucleotides. RefSeq lists it as uncharacterized. Lineage: Eukaryota; Metazoa; Chordata; Aves; Passeriformes; Pipridae. The record is from RefSeq and is a predicted model, not a curated record. The transcript is spliced from 4 exons.
UCUCCUUGUCUCUCUACAGGCAGGCAUCAUCGGCGGCCCGCCAUCUGCAGGACAAGGAGGAGCUGGAUGUCUCCAGGGAGACAUCAAUAUCCAUCCAGUGAGGAGGCCUGGGCCCCCCAAAGUUGACCUGGGGAAGCUGCUGCGCCAGUGACGCUCGGCUGCCUCUCUGCAUGUCCAGGUGAGAAAUAUGGGAGGCUCCUCAGCCCCCCAAAGGAGCCUGGCAGGGCCCUGGGGGGUCCCUGAGCCCUCUGCAGUGGGCAGAGCUUGGGGACAGCAGAGGGACACCCAGGGGGCUGUCCCUGCUCCGUGUCCCGGGGCAGCUGGACAGAGCUGCCCCCAAGCCUUGCCUUGCACUGGGGGCUCUGCAGACCCCCAGGCUCACCGGGAGGGCAGGGAGGGGCUCGGGGAGGUGUCACAGCAUCCCGGGCUCAGGGGCUCUGGGGCCACAUGGAUCUCAGCAUCCAAUUCCCUUCUCCUGCCCCAGCUCCCUGCAGACAGACGGGGUGGGGACAAGGCCCCUGCCAUGUCCCUGUGGAC